AACGCGAAGAACCUUACCUACCCUUGACAUGUACGGAACCCUUCAGAGAUGAGGGGGUGCUCGAAAGAGAACCGUAACACAGGUGCUGCAUGGCUGUCGUCAGCUCGUGUCGUGAGAUGUUGGGUUAAGUCCCGCAACGAGCGCAACCCUUGUCAUUAGUUGCUACGAAAGGGCACUCUAAUGAGACUGCCGGUGACAAACCGGAGGAAGGUGGGGAUGACGUCAAGUCCUCAUGGCCCUUAUGGGUAGGGCUUCACACGUCAUACAAUGGUACAUACAGAGGGCCGCCAACCCGCGAGGGGGAGCUAAUCCCAGAAAGUGUAUCGUAGUCCGGAUUGUAGUCUGCAACUCGACUACAUGAAGUUGGAAUCGCUAGUAAUCGCGGAUCAGCAUGUCGCGGUGAAUACGUUCCCGGGCCUUGUA
RNAcentral lists this ribosomal RNA (423 nucleotides) under uncultured beta proteobacterium. RNAcentral's name for it is "bacterial SSU rRNA". It matches the Rfam family "Bacterial small subunit ribosomal RNA", at positions 958 to 1385 of the family's 1533-position model. The record is from RNAcentral. Lineage: Bacteria; Pseudomonadati; Pseudomonadota; Betaproteobacteria.